UGGAAUAUUGUAUCAAAAUAAACAUGUUAUUGCACAAUUUAUUCAUUGAUAAGAAUUUAUUCAUCAUGUUAUGGGCAUGCCAAACAUGAACAUUGAUCCUUCAUGGAUUUGCAAUAUAACUAAUAAUUAUGAAUUAUAUAAGGCAUGUCAUUAUGGAGUGGAUUAGAACCAGUUGGAACUUUUCUCAGCUUUCUAACAACACGAGAUGAAAUAGUAGAAGAAAUAGUAGUAGAAAUAGUAGAAGAAAAAGGAUUCACUUUUUCAUUUAGAACCUUAGCCAUUGCAAUAUUUGGAAAUAGUGCCAUGAGAAACCCUGCUAACAAUAAAAUUGUUGAAACCAUUGAACUUAUCAAUGCCAUCUUUGUCUAACAAAAUUAUACAAAGGGUCCACGAUCACCACUUUCCUUUUGCUAUUGCUUUAGGAUAAUAUUAUAGAAAAAACUUACUUACUACCAUUUUAUAAUGGG
Molecule: long non-coding RNA, 467 nt
Filed under: Lupinus angustifolius (narrow-leaved blue lupine)
Lineage: Eukaryota; Viridiplantae; Streptophyta; Magnoliopsida; Fabales; Fabaceae
Description: long non-coding RNA (LANG_LNC000561)
Source: RNAcentral